CAUGCGUGUCUGCCAGACACAGCAACAUGCAGGAGGAGGGAGGGAAGGAAAGCUUUGAAGCCUCCUAGGGGACUACAGCUCUGCCUUAAUGAAAUCCAUUACAGAGCUCCGCUUUCAAUAAGGGAAGGCACUUGCAAAACACAUGUCUAGCAACGAAAAUGAGACUCUCCCAUGAAGUGUAAAAGUUGUGACAAGGCAGCUACAGAUGGAGAUGACAAGGUUCUGCCUGCCACAGACAGCUCAGAAAAUAUCCCAAAGUGUACGACAGCCACAGGGAGUUCCGGGAUUUCAAUCAGAGCUCGAUGGAAUCAAGCGCAGCCUGAAAUACAUUAGCUGCAUGGUGUAUGUAGCUACAUCAAUGUGGCAUUUUCAACAAUUAUCACCUAGUUGGAUCUGCAAGAUAGCCACACAGCUGUGCAAACAGGAGACAGAAGUUCUGGGCUCUAAUCCCUCACUUCCUGUAUGACUUUCCAAACAUCACUGAAGAGACCUGGUCUUCACUAGGGAAAAAGGUGUGUUGCUAACACAUGGUCAGAAUUAUAUUCUAUGUAAAGUCUUCACAGAGUGCCCAGCUCUGUAGUGAGUAGGCACCACUUUGUGUUUGUUUCCCCAUCUGUAAUAGAGAUAAUUCAAAGG
This 636-nucleotide long non-coding RNA is filed under the name Chrysemys picta bellii (western painted turtle). RNAcentral describes it as "lncRNA (ENSCPBG00000025388.1)". The record is from RNAcentral. Lineage: Eukaryota; Metazoa; Chordata; Testudines; Emydidae.